CCGACCGCCCACGCCCGGCGCAGAGCAAGACCGAAGUCGCCGGGUGGUGGCGUCAGCUACGCGCCGCUUGCAAAGGAAAAAGCCGGUUGCUGGGGGAGUGAGGAAGAAAGGGAGGGUGCCGAACACGGAAGUGAUGGCAGCGCCUUGGGAGCAGGUGGAGGCGGUGACCGCAUCCUCUGAGACCAGAACCCAGCGCCGAGGGGUGUCAGCUUGCAGAAAGGCAUCCGCCUUAUAGGACCUACAGGAGGUGCAGGAGUGACUGGGCCUCCCUUCACCUUAGCGAGUACCCAGAGUGAUGGCGAUGGUGAUGGCGGCAGUUACUCGGACAGCCCCAGUUAAGCUGCGCUCUGAGAGAUACAUCCAGAGAGUGCCCAGAAGAAACUCCCUCCUGGAAAAACUAAAAAAGCAGUAUUUAUAACACUGGAA
Molecule: long non-coding RNA, 426 nt
Filed under: Lynx canadensis (Canada lynx)
Lineage: Eukaryota; Metazoa; Chordata; Mammalia; Carnivora; Felidae
Description: lncRNA (ENSLCNG00005009857.1)
Source: RNAcentral